GGUGGGAUGUAACACAGAUUAAGGUAAGAACAUCCUCAUUGAGGCUUAUUCCGAAUUUGGGGAAUUUUUCCCCAAUGGGGCGAAAGCCUGACGGAGCCAAUACCGCGUGAAGGAAGGAAGGCUUUUGGGGUUGUAAACCUCUUUUCUCAAGGAAUAAUGCAAUGAAGGUACUUGAGGAAUCAGCAUUGGGUUACUCCGUGCCAGCAGCCGCGGUUAUACGGAGGAUGCAAGCGUUAUUCGGAAUGAUUGGGGGUAAAGCGUCCGCAGGUGGCAGUGUAAGUCUGUUGUUAAAGAGCAAAGCUCAACUUUGUAAAGGCAGGGGAAACUACACAGCUAGAGUACGUUCGGGGCAGAGGGAAUUCCUGGUGUAGCGGUGAAAUGCGUAGAGAUCAGGAAGAACACCGGUGGCGAAAGCGCUCUGCUAGGCCGUAACUGACACUGAGGGACGAAAGCUAGGGGAGCGAAUGGGAUUAGAUACCCCAGUAGUCCUAGCCGUAAACGAUGGAUACUAGGCGUUGCUUGUAUCGACCCGAGCAGUGCCGUAGCUAACGCGUUAAGUAUCCCGCCUGGGGAGUACGCACGCAAGUGUGAAACUCAAAGGAAUUGACGGGGGGCCGCACAAGCGGUGGAGUAUGUGGUUUAAUUUGAUGCAACGCGGAAGAAUCCUUAACCAAGGAGCUUGACAUGUCGGCGAAUCUGCCUAAAGGGGAGAGUCCUUUGGGAGGGGGAACAACAGGGUGGUGCAUAGUGUUGUCAGCAUUGGUAAAAUUCCACAGCAAUCACAUAAUACGGAAAA
RNAcentral lists this ribosomal RNA (796 nucleotides) under Trichormus naviculoides RPAN31. RNAcentral's name for it is "bacterial SSU rRNA". It matches the Rfam family "Bacterial small subunit ribosomal RNA", at positions 38 to 1103 of the family's 1533-position model. The record is from RNAcentral. Lineage: Bacteria; Bacillati; Cyanobacteriota; Cyanophyceae; Nostocales; Nostocaceae.